AACGAACGCUGGCGGCAUGCCUAACACAUGCAAGUCGAACGAGACCUUCGGGUCUAGUGGCGCACGGGUGCGUAACGCGUGGGAAUCUGCCCUUGGGUUCGGAAUAACAGUUGGAAACGACUGCUAAUACCGGAUGAUGACGUAAGUCCAAAGAUUUAUCGCCCAAGGAUGAGCCCGCGUAGGAUUAGCUAGUUGGUGAGGUAAAGGCUCACCAAGGCGACGAUCCUUAGCUGGUCUGAGAGGAUGAUCAGCCACACUGGGACUGAGACACGGCCCAGACUCCUACGGGAGGUAGCAGUGGGGAAUAUUGGACAAUGGGCGAAAGCCUGAUCCAGCAAUGCCGCGUGAGUGAUGAAGGCCUUAGGGUUGUAAAGCUCUUUUACCCGGGAUGAUAAUGACAGUACCGGGAGAAUAAGCUCCGGCUAACUCCGUG
This 433-nucleotide ribosomal RNA is filed under the name uncultured bacterium. RNAcentral's name for it is "partial 16S ribosomal RNA". It matches the Rfam family "Bacterial small subunit ribosomal RNA", at positions 29 to 507 of the family's 1533-position model. The record is from RNAcentral.